AGACUAAGCCAUGCAUGUGCAAGUAUAAACGCUUGAAUCGUGAGACUGCGAAUGGCUCAUUAAAUCAGUUAUAGUUUAUUUGAUGGUGUUUACUACGUGGAUAACCGUGGUAAUUCUAGAGCUAAUACAUGCAAAAGGUCCCGACUUUUCGGAAGGGACGUAUUUAUUAGAUCCAAAACCAAUGCAGGUGUCCUGCUUCGGUGGGCCCUGGUAUCUUGGUGAUUCAUAGUAACUUCUCGAAUCGCUUGGCCUCCGCGCCGGCGAUGGUUCAUUCAAGUUUCUGCCCUAUCAACUUUCGAUGGUAGGGUAUUGGCCUACCAUGGUUGCAACGGGUGACGGAGAAUUAGGGUUCGAUUCCGGAGAGGGAGCCUGAGAAACGGCUACCACAUCCAAGGAAGGCAGCAGGCGCGCAAAUUACCCAAUCCCGACUUGGGGAGGUAGUGACAAUAAAUAACAAUGCCGGUCCCUAUAGUGGUCCGGCAAUUGGAAUGAGUACAAUCCAAACCCCUUAACGAGGAACAAUUGGAGGGCAAGUCUGGUGCCAGCAGCCGCGGUAAUUCCAGCUCCAAUAGCGUAUAUUAAAGUUGUUGCAGUUAAAAAGCUCGUAGUUGGAUUUCGGGGCCCCGGACGCUCGUUGCGUUGUCUGCUGGACUUGUCCUGUGGGCGCGUGGCGGUCGUCGGUCUCUGAGUCGGAUCGGUCCGCCGAGAGGCGUGCACUGACCGACGGCCCCUGUUGUCUCUCGGGUUGCCCGCCUGCACUUAGCUGUUGCGGACGGGGAGUUCGGGACGUUUACUUUGAACAAAUUAGAGUGUUCCAAGCAGGCCGUUUGCUUUGAAUACAUUAGCAUGGAAUAAUGGAAUAGGGCUGCGUGGCCUGUCGUCUGACGGCGGGUCCUCGUGUCCUAUUUUGUUGGUUUUCGGGACCGCAGUCAUGGUCAAGAGGGACAGUUGGGGGCAUUCGUAUUCAGUUGUCAGAGGUGAAAUUCUUGGAUUUACGGAAGACGAACAACUGCGAAAGCAUUUGCCAAGGAUGUUUUCAUUAAUCAAGAACGAAAGUUGGGGGUUCGAAGACGAUCAGAUACCGUCGUAGUC
RNAcentral lists this ribosomal RNA (1092 nucleotides) under Haliclona sp. Sa080513. Its description in RNAcentral is "bacterial SSU rRNA". It matches the Rfam family "Eukaryotic small subunit ribosomal RNA", at positions 41 to 1025 of the family's 1831-position model. The record is from RNAcentral. Lineage: Eukaryota; Metazoa; Porifera; Demospongiae; Haplosclerida; Chalinidae.